UCUGGAUGUAAUAACGUUGCUUUUAAUGUAAAUCAUAGAUUGUUUUUUGCUGUACAAAGAUUUAUAAUUGAUACAUCUCGUUUCUCAGUUCGUAAAAAAUGUAAAAAAAAUAUUAUUGUAAGUACCUGUUUAACUGUAACAAGCUGUCUGAGGUGCUACAAAAUUCUCGAUGCUUGUGUUUCUGAGGGCUUGUUGCAGUAGGUAAUUAACGUGUUUCAAAGCGAUGACUCUGAUUGUGAUAUAUGUAAAACCUUAUAAUUAUUGAUGUUGUGUGAUACUUGUGUGUUGCAUGCUUGAAUAUGUAAAUCUUUAUUUUUGUGCAAGAGCCCCCUAGAUGAGCCAACGUGUGCUCCUGGGGCAAUUGCGCCAAAUAAAUAUGUUUAGACUAACUACUAGGCGACUAUAUGCAUGAUUCCGGUUUGUGGAAACACCUUCACAAUUCCACUACCACUGGCGCUACCUAUAGCUUUGAUUGGGUUCAUGCACAUUUGAUUGGCAAUGCAGGGAUCUGUUAAUUAAACGCAUCUGAUUGAUUAUGGCAACAGUACUGGUGAUUCUUAUUCUGAACCUGUUUCCACAGACUAAAAAUAUGUAUUAUAUUUUCGCCAUGCAAACCUAUACAAAUACUGAACUUAUUACUAGCCAAAUUGCAACUGCAUAAUUACCUAAACACUACUUACAGUGUUUAGGAACGAACUUUCCCUAAGUCUCAUGUUAUUAGUAUAUUUUGUGUUCAAUAUAUAGACCACAGUAAGACUUUUUUAAAUGUUUAUUUCAUUAACAAACGACGUUUCGGAGAUUUACUCCAUCUUCAGGUAGGAUUACAAUUUGAAUUUAAACUAACAUGCGCAUGCAUAAACGUUAAAAUUGCGACCGUUAUUCGCGCGUGCGAAAUUGCGUAAGCAUAUAAAUUACGUGCCCGUGUCCGAU
This is a non-coding RNA of Paramuricea clavata, 930 nucleotides long. NCBI's taxonomy places the organism in Eukaryota, Metazoa, Cnidaria, Anthozoa, Malacalcyonacea, Plexauridae. The record is from the annotation of a GenBank genome assembly.